GCCCGCUCAGAAACUCAAGGAAUUGACGGGGCCCGCACAAGCGGUGGAGCAUGUGGUUUAAUCGAUGAUACGCGAGGAACCUUACCUGGGCUCAAAUGUAUGUUGACGUAUUCUGAAAGGGAUACUUCUUCGGACAAUAUACAAGGUGCUGCAUGGUUGUCGUCAGCUCGUGCCGUGAGGUGUCGGGUUAAGUCCCAUAACGAGCGCAACCCCUAUCAUUAGUUGCCAUCAGGUCAAGCUGGGGACUCUAAUGAAACUGCCUACGCAAGUAGUGAGGAAGGUGGGGAUGACGUCAAAUCAGCACGGCCCUUACGUCCAGGGCUACACACGUGCUACAAUGGCCGGUACAAAGGGCAGCUACCUGGUGACAGGAUGCUAAUCUCAAAAGCCGGUCUCAGUUCGGAUCGGAGUCUGCAACCCGACUCCGUGAAGCUGGAAUCGCUAGUAAUCGCGCAUCAGCCAUGGCGCGGUGAAUACGUUCCCGGGCCUU
This 490-nucleotide ribosomal RNA is filed under the name uncultured Sphingobacteriales bacterium. RNAcentral describes it as "bacterial SSU rRNA". It matches the Rfam family "Bacterial small subunit ribosomal RNA", at positions 904 to 1382 of the family's 1533-position model. The record is from RNAcentral. Lineage: Bacteria; Pseudomonadati; Bacteroidota; Sphingobacteriia; Sphingobacteriales.